This 292-nucleotide ribosomal RNA is filed under the name uncultured bacterium. RNAcentral's name for it is "partial 16S ribosomal RNA". It matches the Rfam family "Bacterial small subunit ribosomal RNA", at positions 505 to 796 of the family's 1533-position model. The record is from RNAcentral.
GUGCCAGCCGCCGCGGUAAUACAGAGGGUGCGAGCGUUGUCCGGAAUCACUGGGCGUAAAGGGCGCGUAGGCGGCCUGAUAAGUAGGGGGUGAAAUCUCGCGGCUCAACUGCGAGGCUGCCUCCUAAACUGUCGGGCUCGAGCACAGUAGAGGCAGGUGGAAUUCCCGGUGUAGCGGUGGAAUGCGUAGAGAUCGGGAAGAACAUCGGUGGCGAAGGCGGCCUGCUGGGCUGUUGCUGACGCUGAGGCGCGACAGCGUGGGGAGCAAACAGGAUUAGAUACCCGGGUAGUCC